AAGAAAGUGGCAGAUAGGUGAUGUGUUCGGCUUGAAACCGGGAAAAGGGGGUUCGAUUCCCUCCUUUCUUG
Molecule: transfer RNA, 71 nt
Filed under: Petropedetes sp. MVZ 234827
Lineage: Eukaryota; Metazoa; Chordata; Amphibia; Anura; Petropedetidae
Description: tRNA-Ser
Rfam family: tRNA
About the family: Transfer RNA (tRNA) molecules are approximately 80 nucleotides in length. Their secondary structure includes four short double-helical elements and three loops (D, anti-codon, and T loops).
Source: RNAcentral